This 355-nucleotide ribosomal RNA is filed under the name uncultured bacterium. RNAcentral describes it as "bacterial SSU rRNA". It matches the Rfam family "Bacterial small subunit ribosomal RNA", at positions 8 to 351 of the family's 1533-position model. The record is from RNAcentral.
AGAGUUUGAUCCUGGCUCAGGAUGAACGCUAGCUACAGGCUUAACACAUGCAAGUCGAGGGGAAACGACAUCGAAAGCUUGCUUUUGAUGGGCGUCGACCGGCGCACGGGUGAGUAACGCGUAUCCAACCUGCCCACCACUUGGGGAUAACCCUGCGAAAGUAAGACUAAUACCCAAUGAUAUCUCUAGAAGACAUCUGAAAGAGAUUAAAGAUUUAUCGGUGAUGGAUGGGGAUGCGUCUGAUUAGCUUGUUGGCGGGGUAACGGCCGACCAAGGCGACGAUCAGUAGGGGUUCUGGAGAGGAAGGUCCCCCACAUUGGAACUGAGACACGGUCCAAAAUCCUACGGGAGGCAG